This 267-nucleotide ribosomal RNA is filed under the name uncultured prokaryote. Its description in RNAcentral is "partial 16S ribosomal RNA". It matches the Rfam family "Bacterial small subunit ribosomal RNA", at positions 526 to 792 of the family's 1533-position model. The record is from RNAcentral.
CGGAGGAUCCGAGCGUUAUCCGGAUUUAUUGGGUUUAAAGGGUGCGCAGGCGGGGGAUUAAGUCGGCGGUGAAAUUUUGCAGCUCAACUGUAAAAGUGCCUUCGAAACUGGUUUCCUUGAGUGUAGAUGAAGUAGGCGGAAUUUGUGGUGUAGCGGUGAAAUGCAUAGAUAUCACGAGGAACUCCGAUUGCGCAGGCAGCUUACUAAACUACUACUGACGCUCAGGCACGAAGGCGUGGGCAUCAAACAGGAUUAGAUACCCUGGUA